GGCGACCCACAUGGGACCUCGCUGAAGGAGACCGGAGGAGUCGGGGACCUGAUCGGUUCCAGCCGGCACCGAGGAUUUCUCAGGGAUACCCAUCGAUCCCCGAUCCGUAAGGCUCUUCACGACGUUCCCUGGAUUUUUGGAGACUAUGUCUAUGUGAAGACUUGGACCUCCGAACCUUUGCAGGAGCACUGGAGAGGACCUUUCCAGAUACUGCUAACCACUUUUACAGCUAUCAAAAUUGCAGAAUCGGAUGCUUGGAUACAUUAUACUCGAGUGAAGAAAGCACCGUGAAGAAAGCAUCUACUCCGUGGAAGAUUGUUAAUCGUGACCCAGAGUCUUAAAAAUUGACUUUGAAACAUGUCUAAUUUUUCAUAUCAGGUUAUGAUUGGUUUUUGGAUUUUCUUUUGGUCGGUAGUGUUGGUGGGAUCAUGGGCUGACUUGGUGGACAGGAACAAAAGACAAAUAGAAACAGAACAAAUGAUUGACAUUCCCAAACAAAUGACUGAGGAAAAUUUGAUGGUAGGAUUGAUUAAAGAA
Molecule: long non-coding RNA, 537 nt
Organism: Falco peregrinus (peregrine falcon)
Lineage: Eukaryota; Metazoa; Chordata; Aves; Falconiformes; Falconidae
Exons: 2
Source: RefSeq, a predicted model, not a curated record